GAUGAACGCUGGCGGCGUGCCUAAUACAUGCAAGUCGAGCGAACAGAUGAGGAGCUUGCUCCUCUGACGUUAGCGGCGGACGGGUGAGUAACACGUGGAUAACCUACCUAUAAGACUGGUAUAACUUCGGGAAACCGGAGCUAAUACGGGAUAAUAUAUUGAUCCGCAUGGUUCAAUAGUGAAAGACGGUUUUGCUGGCACUUAUAGAUGGAUCCCGGCCGCGUUAGCUAGUUGGGAAGGUAACGAGUUACGAAGGGAACGAUGCGUAUCCGACCUGAGAGGGUGAUAGGCCACACGGGAACGGGGACGGGGUCAUGAGUCCUGAGGGAGGCAGCAGAAGGGAACCUGCCGCAAUGGUCGAGAGCCUGGCGGAGCAACGCGGCGUGAGUGGUGAAGGUCUUCGGAUCGGAAAACUCUGUUUUUAGGGAAGAACAAAUGUGUAAGUAGCUAUGCACGUCUUGACGGUACCUAAUCAGAAAGCCACGGCUAACUACGUG
RNAcentral lists this ribosomal RNA (497 nucleotides) under uncultured bacterium. RNAcentral describes it as "partial 16S ribosomal RNA". It matches the Rfam family "Bacterial small subunit ribosomal RNA", at positions 28 to 507 of the family's 1533-position model. The record is from RNAcentral.